Molecule: non-coding RNA, 26 nt
Filed under: Homo sapiens (human)
Lineage: Eukaryota; Metazoa; Chordata; Mammalia; Primates; Hominidae
Source: RNAcentral
AGACAUAGGAAGAAAGAUGCCAACGU